Molecule: ribosomal RNA, 233 nt
Filed under: uncultured bacterium
Lineage: Bacteria
Description: partial 16S ribosomal RNA
Rfam family: Bacterial small subunit ribosomal RNA
Source: RNAcentral
UCCACGCUGUAAACGAUGUGCACUAGGUGUUGGGGAUAGGAUCCUCAGUACCGUAGCUAACGCGUUAAGUGCACCGCCUGGGGAGUAUGCCCGCAAGGGUGAAACUCAAAGGAAUUGGACGGGGGGCCCGCACAAGCGGUGGAGCAUGUGGUUUAAUUCGAUGCAACGCGAAGAACCUUACCACCCCUUGACAUCCAGAGAAUCUGUUCGAGAGAGUAGAGUGCCUUCGGGAA